This is a non-coding RNA of Marmota monax (woodchuck), 892 nucleotides long. The record is from the annotation of a RefSeq genome assembly. Lineage: Eukaryota; Metazoa; Chordata; Mammalia; Rodentia; Sciuridae.
AGGGAGUCAGGUGGAACCUGUUGACUGGAAGAACAAGCUUGUCUGGCCCAAGACCUGACACCUGCAGAGCAGGGAGAAGAGCCAGCAGCCAGGCCAGCAGCCAUGCAGAGGGGACUGGGGGCUCUGCUGGGGCUUCUGUGGGUGCAACUUUGCUGGGUGAGAGGGCAGCAGGUGGAGCAGAGUCCUUCAGCCCUGAGGCUCCAGGAGGGAGCCAGCCCUACUCUGAGGUGCAAUUUUUCCACCACCAUGAGAAGUGUGCAGUGGUUCCGACAGAAUCCUGGGGGCAGCCUCAUCAGUCUGUUUUUACUGACUCCAGGGACAAAGCAGGAGGGAAGGUUAAAGGCAACAAUGAAUUUUCAGGAGCGCUACAGCACCCUGAACAUCUCCACCUCCCAGAUGGAAGACUCAGGCACCUACUUCUGUGCAGCAGAGGCACAGUGUUCCCAGAGGAACUGCAGCCUGUCUGCAAACUGCAGCUGCACCUGCAGCCACUGCCUGUGCCUCAGGGAGGACUUGCACAGCAGCCUCUGCACAGCUAUGGGUGUCCUGAUUCAUGUCAUAGCACUGUCACCUAUGGUAAUGUGAGAAUUCUCAGUACUGUCAUUCUAUUUGGGUGGGACUCUUCCACACAGAAACCCUUUGCACAAAAAAUUUCUAAUAAAAAAGCAUUGGAGCAACUGAUAAGGAUGUCAGGGACCCAGAUACUGUUAAAACAGGUCCCCUUUUCCCCUACAUCCUCGCCAGUACUUAUUGUUGCUUGAAUUCUUGAUAAUUGACAUUCUGACUGGAGUGAAAUGAAAUCUUAGAGAAGUUUUAAUUUGCAUUUCUCUAAUUGCUAAAAAUAUUGAACAUUUUUUUCAUGUUUGUUGAUUAAUUAUAUUCCUUCUUCCGU